UACGGGGGGUGCAAACGUUGCUCGGAAUCAUUGGGCGUAAAGCGCACGUAGGCGGUUCGUUAUGUCGGAUGUGAAAGCCCUUGGCUUAACCGAGGAAGUGCAUCCGAAACUGGCGAGCUAGAGUACUAAAGAGGAUCGCGGAAUUCCCGGUGUAGAGGUGAAAUUCGUAGAUAUCGGGAGGAACACCGGUGGCGAAGGCGGCGAUCUGGGUAGAUACUGACGCUGAGGUGCGAAAGCGUGGGGAGCAAACAGG
Molecule: ribosomal RNA, 253 nt
Filed under: uncultured bacterium
Lineage: Bacteria
Description: partial 16S ribosomal RNA
Rfam family: Bacterial small subunit ribosomal RNA
Source: RNAcentral